This 65-nucleotide transfer RNA is filed under the name Fischoederius cobboldi. RNAcentral's name for it is "tRNA-Tyr". The record is from RNAcentral. Lineage: Eukaryota; Metazoa; Platyhelminthes; Trematoda; Plagiorchiida; Gastrothylacidae.
AUCAGCUUAGUAUAAAUAGUAGUGCGUGAGAUUGUAAAUUUCAAGGUGAGGUAUUUCAGUUGAGA